UAUUAUAAAUAUGACUGACUUGGGUCAAGC
This 30-nucleotide non-coding RNA is filed under the name Mus musculus (house mouse). Lineage: Eukaryota; Metazoa; Chordata; Mammalia; Rodentia; Muridae. The record is from RNAcentral.